Molecule: ribosomal RNA, 601 nt
Filed under: Salmonella enterica subsp. enterica serovar Mikawasima
Lineage: Bacteria; Pseudomonadati; Pseudomonadota; Gammaproteobacteria; Enterobacterales; Enterobacteriaceae
Description: partial 23S ribosomal RNA
Rfam family: Bacterial large subunit ribosomal RNA
Source: RNAcentral
AGUGUCUGGUGGGUAGUUUGACUGGGGCGGUCUCCUCCUAAAGAGUAACGGAGGAGCACGAAGGUUGGCUAAUCCUGGUCGGACAUCAGGAGGUUAGUGCAAUGGCAUAAGCCAGCUUGACUGCGAGCGUGACGGCGCGAGCAGGUGCGAAAGCAGGUCAUAGUGAUCCGGUGGUUCUGAAUGGAAGGGCCAUCGCUCAACGGAUAAAAGGUACUCCGGGGAUAACAGGCUGAUACCGCCCAAGAGUUCAUAUCGACGGCGGUGUUUGGCACCUCGAUGUCGGCUCAUCACAUCCUGGGGCUGAAGUAGGUCCCAAGGGUAUGGCUGUUCGCCAUUUAAAGUGGUACGCGAGCUGGGUUUAGAACGUCGUGAGACAGUUCGGUCCCUAUCUGCCGUGGGCGCUGGAGAACUGAGGGGGGCUGCUCCUAGUACGAGAGGACCGGAGUGGACGCAUCACUGGUGUUCGGGUUGUCAUGCCAAUGGCACUGCCCGGUAGCUAAAUGCGGAAGAGAUAAGUGCUGAAAGCAUCUAAGCACGAAACUUGCCCCGAGAUGAGUUCUCCCUGAGACUUUAGGUCUCCUGAAGGAACGUUGAAGACGAC